RNAcentral lists this ribosomal RNA (413 nucleotides) under uncultured Mycobacterium sp. RNAcentral describes it as "bacterial SSU rRNA". It matches the Rfam family "Bacterial small subunit ribosomal RNA", at positions 115 to 540 of the family's 1533-position model. Lineage: Bacteria; Bacillati; Actinomycetota; Actinomycetes; Mycobacteriales; Mycobacteriaceae. The record is from RNAcentral.
ACGUGGGUGAUCUGCCCUGCACUUUGGGAUAAGCCUGGGAAACUGGGUCUAAUACCGAAUACACCCUGCUGGUCGCAUGGCCUGGUGGGGGAAAGCUUUUGCGGUGUGGGAUGGGCCCGCGGCCUAUCAGCUUGUUGGUGGGGUGAUGGCCUACCAAGGCGACGACGGGUAGCCGGCCUGAGAGGGUGUCCGGCCACACUGGGACUGAGAUACGGCCCAGACUCCUACGGGAGGCAGCAGUGGGGAAUAUUGCACAAUGGGCGCAAGCCUGAUGCAGCGACGCCGCGUGAGGGAUGACGGCCUUCGGGUUGUAAACCUCUUUCAACGCCGACGAAGCGUGAGUGACGGUAGGCGUAGAAGAAGCACCGGCCAACUACGUGCCAGCAGCCGCGGUAAUACGUAGGGUGCGAGCG